UGUGUACUCCCUCCGUUCCAAAAUACUUGACUUCCAUUUGUCCAAAAAUGGAUGUACCUAUAUACUAAUACAUGUCUAGAUACAUAUAUAUUUUGACAAAUAGAAGGCAUGCAGUAUUGUGCAACGGAGGGAGUAGAAU
Triticum aestivum (bread wheat) is the source of this 139-nucleotide non-coding RNA. The record is from Rfam. NCBI's taxonomy places the organism in Eukaryota, Viridiplantae, Streptophyta, Magnoliopsida, Poales, Poaceae.